Molecule: long non-coding RNA, 439 nt
Organism: Populus euphratica (Euphrates poplar)
Lineage: Eukaryota; Viridiplantae; Streptophyta; Magnoliopsida; Malpighiales; Salicaceae
Exons: 2
Source: RefSeq, a predicted model, not a curated record
UUUGUUUAAAGGAUGGCAUAGAACAAUUGGUCAUUGGAUAAAAUCCGUUUGUUUCAGUCUUUAAAAUCAAGUCAUACUUGUACAUAAAUGGCAAACAAGGCUUUCCGAGUACGGGUAAUGGUGAUCAGAGGCAGCAAGACAUGAACAAACGAAUAAAACGUGGAUAAAAUAAACAUGCACGCCUAGCAUUUGUUCUGUUCUUUCAAAAUUCACUUAAUAUAAAUAUAACUCAACACAAACUCAAUUCAACUGUUACCGAUGAAGAUACCUCAAGUAGCAGCAUAGCUUGACAAAAAUGCUGAUAGGCACAACAACUUAAGCAGGUAAACAAAGCAAAGGAAACACAACCUUCAGGAGCAAACAUGAGAAGCAAGAUAAUUAGAAUGGCUGGUGGCAAACAACUUCUAGACUGACAAAAGUUUACUCAUAGAUCCAUUGG